AUUUUUCUCCAGGCAGUUCCAAUUCAUUUCAGGAGGGUAAGUAAGAAAAAGCAAUUAGCUAUGAACAGGAGUUUUGUGACCACUGAUUCAUUUCUUAGAAGUCAGGCAUUCUCUGAAAAUAAACCUUGUACAAAUCUGUCAGUAUUCUUUCAUUCACUCUCUCCAAAACCAGGUUCAAUUUGCUCAGUGUGCAUGUGUCCUAAGGGUUCCCUUUAGCCUGCAAUCAGUCUGGACUCUAGGAAUGACAAGGUUAUAUUACCGCAUUCCUUUUUUCUUUAUUAUUUUCCAUAAUAAACGUUCCACACAGGUCUCUUCUUUCCAAUAUCAGUGAUGAUGUAAAGCUUGUGCUGACCUCCAACCUCCCCCGCAGUAGCAAAGUAUGGGGUAGACAAGCAGAAUUUAUCUUUUCCUUUGAAUCUCAUCAGUGUUGUUGAACAUGACAUCUAUACUGAAAAUUAUCCUACUGCAGCUGUGUGGGGCUAACGAGACAAACAACAUUAUAAAGGAACAGCAGCAAUGCCUAUGAAUUACUGAAGACUGAUUAAGUUUCAAAGAACAUGCUUAUUUAAAGGUAAGAUACCACUUCUGCAUGAUCACUUAGGAACUCCAAAUAGAAACCUCUCCAGAUAAAGUAUUUCUGAACUAGAUGAAGACAAGAAGGAAGACAUCCUUAGUUGGGAAAAACUCAUGUUAUAAAAGAUAAGGAGGGCGCCUAACAUCUGCUGUACUACGUUAUCUCAUUGUAUAGUCUGGACACGAAAAUUUGGAGGCUUUUUCACUCUAACUUCACCAUAUUUGUUCAAGUUUGGCCUCAAGUGGGCAGCUCUAAGGCCUGAUAAAUAUUAGCCACCUACUGUAUGCAGAGGUUAUUCAGUAAGUUAGUGUCUUAAAUGGAGUCAAUCAAUCAUCAUUUAUUUUGACACAGUUACAGAGCAGCCAUGCAACAUCUGUGAAAUUAUCAUCCCAUUUACUUUUAUACAGUCAUAGGUAUCAGAAGGAGAAAUCCGGGAAGGAGGCAACUUGAUAAAUGCAUAGCACAACAUCAUUUUUCAGCAUAGCAAAAUAUAUAAGCCAAUACAUGUGACACUACUGUAACAAAAGCUCUUGCAUCCUGAUCACCAUCCCGAACUGAGCUCAGAAAUCUGUAAUUUUGGGUAGACACAAAAUUUUUAACAGACCUGAUUUGAAAAGCUGCCUUAAACAUCCACAUCAUAUCGUCGCCUGAAGAAGAACAAUAACACUGAAUAUCCAACACUUCCUAUCAUGAGUCUGAGCCAGUAAAAGGAAUGAGAAAACUUGCAAAAUAACACAUUAUUCAAAACUGAAAGGUUCUAUCAGUCAGAUCAGGUAACAACAGACAAUAACAGACCUUAAAAAAAUACACACAUCGUUUAGAAGGUAGCCAAAAAUCAAUGCCAAAAUUUAGCCUUCAAAGAACACCCGAAAUAAUUUAACACAAACAAUACAGAAACAAACAGCAGUGGCCGAAGACUGACAUGCCUCAGGGAGCUUAUCAGAAGCUUCCUGAAGAACUACAUGAGGAGUGACAGGGAGCAGAGAUGAUGGUGAUACUGGCCAUGAAGGAAGAGGAACAUAUACUGUAGAAAGACAGUAAGUUACAUUAGCUACUACUGAGCCAUCAGUCUGAAUGAUUCGUUGCCUUGAGCAUGCAAGAGAAGCCAUUGCCUUUACAAAUGUAUUUUACACAUCUUAACUUCUGUGGCCCAGGCAACCGUUUCAUAGAUGGACAAACAGAGAGACAGAAAGGUCAUAUAUGACCAGAGUUGUUUCAACAAAUCAAACCCAUCCAAAAACAUACAGGCCUUUGAAAACAUCAGUCACAAACCUGUGAAAAACUUCUGUCAUGCAGGGAGAGAAGACAGGUGAUAAAGACUAAGAUGUGCUAGCAGGCCUUACUUGAAGAGGCAAGUUUUCUUCACAUCUAUGGCUAAGCUUUUUAUCCUUAAGUGACACCAUCUGUUCUGACAGACAGUUUUAUAAAAUUUGAAUAAGGUGACCUCGAUAGAGGAUUCUCGUGAUGUGGAAGAAUGAGAGUCAUACGUGGAUGUGAAAAGGUUGUGGACAGCUCAUGUAUAUUUCUCUUCCAUGGGUACCCAAGCGCAUACAGCGCUGUCACAAAACACAGAACUCACCCCUCUCGACACUCACAACACACACCUACCCGUGAUUUCUGUAACAAUGCUGCCAUAACUUUUCUACUAUCUUAUAAACGCCUGGCACGUGGCAUUCAGAAAAAUGACCCUUUAGAGUCUGUAGUUCACUUGUAUAGUUAACUUCUGACAGAUUAGCACACAGUAUCCCCUCCAAUUAUAGCAUUGUCACAUCACCGUAUGAGGAUCAGCAUCAAGGACUGUUUUAUGCAACAGAACAUUCAGCUGAUAAGUUCACUAAUCACCUGGUUAAUGACAACAGACACCAUUUGGCGAACAUCGGAAACAACAGCAUUAGGAAAAAGAUUACAGAAGGUCAGUGUGAACUGAUCUUCCUGUUUCCCCUGACAAAAAGCCUUCAGUAUCGAGGCCCUGGAGCGUGUUCAAAGAAGGGCAACAAAGCUGGCAAGGGGUCUGGAGCACAGGCCUUAUGAGGAGCAGCUGAGGGAGCUGGGAUUGUUCAGUCUAGAGAAGAGGAGGCUCAGGGGAGACCUUAUUGCUCUCUAUAACUACCUGAAGGGAGGUUGUAGUGAGCUAGGGGUCAGCCUCCUCUCUCAUGUAACCAUAUACAGGACUAGAGGGAAUGGCUUGACAGGCUUCAAGCUGUGCCAGGGAAGGUUCAGGCUGGACGUUAGGAAAUCCUACUUCUCUGAAAGGGUGGUCAGGCACUGGAAUGGGCUGCCCAGGGAGGUGGUGGACUCACCAACUCUGGAGGUGUUCACGGAACGUUUGGAUGUUGUGUUGAGGGACAUGGCUUAGUAAGAACUAUUGGUGAUGGGUGGAUGGUCAGACUGGGUGAUCCUGUGGGUCUUUUCCAACCUUGGUGAUUCUAUGAUUCUAUGAGUAUAAAACUAGACAAGAGCAAAAUGUUAUGUUUAUCACUUUUUUUUUCUUUUUUCUUUUUCUUUUUUUUUUACUACUCCUCAUCAUCAAUUCUCAACACAGUUGGACACACAAAAAUGUCAGAAACGUGACAAGGCCAGUUGUAGAGCAUGAUUGAAGGGCACUUGCAAAACACAAGCAAGGGAGUCUGCAAACCUACCCAAUAACUCAUUUUGUGUGUUAUCAGUGCUCUUGGCCUAUUCUUUCAGAAGCAUUUAUCUGCCCAUGGAGAUCAAAAAUUAUAC
Molecule: long non-coding RNA, 3298 nt
Organism: Gallus gallus (chicken)
Lineage: Eukaryota; Metazoa; Chordata; Aves; Galliformes; Phasianidae
Source: Ensembl